UCGGGAAUUUUGGGCAAUGGGCGAAAGCCUGACCCAGCAACGCCGCGUGAGGGAUGAAGUAUUUCGGUAUGUAAACCUCGAAAGAAUGGGAAGAAUAAAUGACGGUACCAUUUAUAAGCUCCGGCUAACUACGUGCCAGCAGCCGCGGUAAUACGUAGGGAUCAAGCGUUGUUUGGAUUUACUGGGCGUAAAGGGCGCGUAGGCGGCGCGGUAAGUCACUUGUGAAAUCUCUGAGCUUAACUCAGAACGGCCAAGUGAUACUGCUGUGCUAGAGUGCGGAAGAGGCAACCGGAAUUCUUGGUGUAGCGGUGAAAUGCGUAGAUAUCAAGAGGAACACCUGAGGCGAAGGCGGGUUGCUGGGCCGACACUGACGCUGAUGCGCGAAAGCCAGGGGAGCAAACG
This 402-nucleotide ribosomal RNA is filed under the name uncultured bacterium. Its description in RNAcentral is "bacterial SSU rRNA". It matches the Rfam family "Bacterial small subunit ribosomal RNA", at positions 355 to 774 of the family's 1533-position model. The record is from RNAcentral.